GUGCUCGCUUCAGCAGCACAUAUACUAAAACUGGAACAAUACAGAGAAGAUUAGCAUGGCCCCUGUGCAAGGAUGACAUGCAAAUUCAUGAACUGUUCCAUAUUUUU
Molecule: small nuclear RNA, 107 nt
Filed under: Ovis aries (sheep)
Lineage: Eukaryota; Metazoa; Chordata; Mammalia; Artiodactyla; Bovidae
Source: RNAcentral